Molecule: ribosomal RNA, 506 nt
Filed under: uncultured bacterium
Lineage: Bacteria
Description: partial 16S ribosomal RNA
Rfam family: Bacterial small subunit ribosomal RNA
Source: RNAcentral
GAUGAACGCUAGCGGCAGGCCUAACACAUGCAAGUCGAGGGGUAACUAGAGUCAUAGCAAUAUUACUUUGGCUAGACCGGCGCACGGGUGCGUAACACGUAUGCAACCUACCUUAUACUGGGGAAUAACUUCGAGAAAUCGGCGCUAAUACCCCAUAACAUUGCGAAGAGGCAUCUCUUUGCAAUUAAAGCUCCGGCGGUAUAAGAUGGGCAUGCGUCCGAUUAGCUAGUUGGUGAGGUAACGGCUCACCAAGGCUACGAUUGGUAGGGGUUCUGAGGGGAUGAAGCCCCACACAGGUACCGAGAAACGCACCAGACUCCUAGGGGAGGCAGCAGUGGGGAAAAUUGCGCAAUGGCGGAAAGUCUGACGCAGCCAUGCCGCGUGCGGGAGGACGGCCCUAUGGGUUGUAAACUGCUUUUGUACGGGAAUAAACCCUUCUACGUGUAGGAGGCUGAAGGUACCGGAAGAAUCAGCACCGGCUAACUCCGUGCCAGCCGCCGCAGUAA